RNAcentral lists this transfer RNA (398 nucleotides) under uncultured Microcystis sp. Its description in RNAcentral is "partial contains 16S-23S ribosomal RNA intergenic spacer, and 23S ribosomal RNA". The stretch from base 135 to 208 matches the Rfam family "tRNA". Lineage: Bacteria; Bacillati; Cyanobacteriota; Cyanophyceae; Chroococcales; Microcystaceae. The record is from RNAcentral.
AAGGGAGACCUAAUUCGGGUAUGGGAUGAAAAAAAAGUAGUCCCAACCAAGAAUCAAUCCCAAAAGGUCGGAGCGAGGCGAAAUUGGCUUUCAAACUAGGUUCUGGGUUCAAACAAGACCUGAAUCAGGAACAAGGGCUAUUAGCUCAGGUGGUUAGAGCGCACCCCUGAUAAGGGUGAGGUCCCUGGUUCGAGUCCAGGAUGGCCCACCUGCACAGGUGGCAAAAACAAGAGAAGCUCCGAAUCAGCACCUUAUCUUACUUAUAUAGUAAGAGAGAAUGCUGGCUCUGAGUUCAGAGUCCAGAGGAACCUUGAAAACUGCAUAGAGCUAGGUGAAAAAGCCAAAAAAGAAGACCGCAAGGUCAAGCUAAUAAGGGCUAACGGUGGAUACCUAGGCAC